Molecule: ribosomal RNA, 433 nt
Filed under: uncultured bacterium
Lineage: Bacteria
Description: partial 16S ribosomal RNA
Rfam family: Bacterial small subunit ribosomal RNA
Source: RNAcentral
AACGAACGCUGGCGGCAGGCUUAACACAUGCAAGUCGAACGCACCUUUCGGGGUGAGUGGCAGACGGGUGAGUAACGCGUGGGAAUCUACCCUUCUCUACGGGAUAGCUCCGGGAAACUGGAAUUAAUACCGUAUACGUCCUGAGGGAGUAAGAUUUAUCGGGGAAGGAUGAGCCCGCGUUGGAUUAGCUAGUUGGUGGGGUAAAGGCCUACCAAGGCGACGAUCCAUAGCUGGUCUAAGAGGAUGAUCAGCCACAUUGGGACUGAGACACGGCCCAAACUCCUACGGGAGGCAGCAGUGGGGAAUAUUGGACAAUGGGCGCAAGCCUGAUCCAGCCAUGCCGCGUGAGUGAUGAAGGCCCUAGGGUUGUAAAGCUCUUUCAGUGGGGACGAUAAUGACGGUACCCACAGAAGAAGCCCCGGCUAACUUCGUG